AUUGAACGCUGGCGGCAUGCCUUACACAUGCAAGUCGAACGGUAACAGGUUAAGCUGACGAGUGGCGAACGGGUGAGUAAUGUAUCGGAACGUGCCCAGUCGUGGGGAUAACUUCCCCAAAGAGCCACUAAUACCGCAUUAGGCCCUAAGGGGAAAACGGGGGGUCGCCAAAACCCGGGCGAUUUGAGCGGCCGAUAUCAGAUUAGGUAGGUGGUGAGGUAAAGGCUCACCAAGCCGACGAUCUGUAGCUGGUCUGAGAGGACGACCAGCCACACUGGGACUGAGACACGGCCCAGACUCCUACGGGAGGCAGCAGUGGGGAAUUUUGGACAAUGGGCGCAAGCCUGAUCCAGCCAUGCCGCGUGCGGGAAGAAGGCCUUCGGGUUGUAAACCGCUUUUGUCAGGGAAGAAAAGGUUCUGGCUAAUACCUGGGACUCAUGACGGUACCUGAAGAAUAAGCACCGGCUAACUACGUG
RNAcentral lists this ribosomal RNA (476 nucleotides) under uncultured bacterium. RNAcentral describes it as "partial 16S ribosomal RNA". It matches the Rfam family "Bacterial small subunit ribosomal RNA", at positions 30 to 507 of the family's 1533-position model. The record is from RNAcentral.